UAAAUGCAUAAUCUGGUAUGUG
This 22-nucleotide microRNA is filed under the name Pictodentalium vernedei. RNAcentral describes it as "Pve-Mir-277_3p (mature (guide))". The record is from RNAcentral. Lineage: Eukaryota; Metazoa; Mollusca; Scaphopoda; Dentaliida; Dentaliidae.